AAAAGUUCUCACCUCGUCUCGUCUUUCGCCUAAAAUCAUAGGAUUUCAUUUUGCCUUAGUGUUGCCUUCCUGUAACCUUACUGUCGCCUUUUCGCCUUGAUAACACCGAGUAUAAUAAAAUAUACAUGAUAACACAUGCAUUCUAAACAAUUGCAUACAAUUAACAAAUUUUGAUUUGAAUGAGAAAUUCUUACAUGAACGGAGGAAGAUUAUAGCUUAAAAAUAUCACUUGUACAUAUGAUUUUACCUCUAAAAAGGAAAAAAAAAUGGUGAACCUAGAAUAAUAAUAAUAUUAUUAAAAAUAAAAAUAAAGAAGAAGAAGCAAGUGUUGGUGUGGGAACAAUUUGAUGCAUAGAAUGGUUGAUGACUAAUGAGAAAUUCUUGAUAAGAGCAUCACAUGGUGCUCGUCUCUGGGACACACCAGCAGCAGGCAACGGCCAGCAUAACGUACCCGCCAUGUCCAAACCAAUGAGUUUGUUUUGGGGAUGCCCAAACAUGAAUAUAAUACUCACUAAUCUAAUGGAUUCAUUCUUUGAUGAGGUAAGAUAGAAUUGGGGGUGUGCAAUUGUCUGUAGCUUGGAAUUCCAAGAUUCCACGUUUAGCUUAGAUGUUUUAUUGUUUGGAAAGGGACUAGAGCAUCAUCAAAAUCCAAAGAAGCAGCAGCAGCAGCUUCAAAGUAACGCAUAGCAUAAUUCCCUUAAAUCAGAUACGAAUCUCUUAAAUCCAUUUACUCUUGGUGAGAAGAAGAGAACCAAAGAGAAAUGGUGUUAUCUUUCUCUGAAUAUAUAUAAAAGAACAUAGAGGAAAUGUACUCAUCCUUGCAAUUACAUGACAUGAACAAAGGAACAAUUGACUGUUAUGUUACAAUUAUAACCUUUUUUUAGAUGCCUAAGUUCCAAAUGCGUGAAACAAUCAACAAAAUAUGAGACCUGAGCAUCUAGAGAAAGGUAUACACAGCCUACAAAUGAAGUGCCAAAAUUAUCAAAGAUUAAACCGGAGGCUUAUAUGAUUUUAAUGUAGUAAUGGAAAGCAAAGAGUCAAAGCAAGAAACCAGACAAUCAAUCAAUAAACAAUCAUGACCUUAAAGAUAGCUUCAAGUUCCACAAAUGUCAUACAUAUCAGUUAAGUUGUUCCAUAGCAAACCGUAAGUUCCAUUGCCCAUUAAAUAGCGAAAAACACUAAGGUUAGAAUGAACCAACGAAAUAAAAGCCUAAAGAAACAUCUAAAAGUGGCAAAAAGCACUUCCAAUUAACAUCAACUGACUCAUGAAUCCAUUACCGAUCCCGAGGAUCAUACAUCAUCUGGAGCAAAAAAUCCUUGCGCUCAUUGACUGGGAAGCCAAAAAAGGCUCUUACCCUUGCAGGAUCUUGAGUAAGGAAAGUGUAGGCUGUGUAUCUUAAGUGCCGCUCAACUCCUAUCUUCACAAGUUCUGCAUAAACUUCUCUCUCUGAGUAAACAUGCUGUCUAGCUCUCUCAAUAAUAGCAUUUCCCUCCCUGAUUGCCUCUGCAACAUCAUUAAUAGCAUCCUUGAUGCUCUUAAAUUUCCUCUCCCAUGUACGGGCCUUUCGCUUUCUGUCUUUCGGUAACAUUACAGGCUCAUCACAUUGUGUGUGGUAAUACACAAGGAGCAUACAGAUGGCAUGUACAACAUGACAAAGAACUUGAGCCACAGCCAUUCUUCGCCUUCGAUCCCAAAGCUCCCACCAAUUUUCUUCAUCAUCAUCUCGUCUAUUUUCACAACUAUCAAUCUAUCACAAAAUCUUUUGUUAAACUCAGAACCUUGAUCUAUAAUAUUCCAUAGGGAAUCCAAUGUGACACAAUCCAAAUCUAACUUAGGCUCAUGGUAUAACAAUCAAAAAGAAAAUCUAACUUAAGCUCAAAAAUUAGACUUGCACAAGAAAUGACAGGAGUUGAUUCUUUGUUUAUCAAGAAGUAGAUUAAAAAGAAAUGCUUCGAUUAUUACAAGAAUCUAAACCACAUAAAACCAACAAUUCAUACAGAAAAUCAUUGUAAUGUAAAGUUCAUAACUUUUCACUUCCUACACAUUUAAAUCGCCAAAUAUUACAAAUUAAAUAGCUUAAGCAUUGUAUUGAAAGGAACACGAAGCUAACCUGGGAAUUACUGGGGGUCAUGGUUUUGGGUAUUUUCUGCACGGACAGCUUCUUCUUGUUGGUGGUGCUGUUGAGCUUUUAAGAGAAAGGGCUUGAAACCAAUCUCGAGAGUUAGAUAGCCGAAAGCUAAGGCGCCAAUCACCACUAUCCCUGAUCUUAUCGCGUUCAGCCUCGUCUCUGGGUUCAUUCUCUUCCUUCUUCUCUGCCCUGCACACCCUCACAAUUAUAUUUAUAUAGCUCUAUAAUUUAUCCAAAAAUAAUUUACAAUCAACCGACGUCGUUUCAUAAAGCUUUUGACUUUCGCCCCUCGGUGCUGACCAAAGAUAAAGAAACCUACCUGCUCUUCUUCUCUGUAUCAAAAGCCAAAACCAUUAUUCAUAUUUCAGUUGAUCAAAAUCCAGUGGGCAUUUCUUUCAUCUUGGCCUCAUUUUUCACAGGGACGGUGGUGGGUUUGGUGAUGUUCGUAAAACAUGGCAUGAGUCAGCUAACAUCACUAAGCAGCGCAAGAAAUUGUACCUUAUCUUCCUCAGCGGUUUUGAGAAGGCAGCACUUCUUGAUAAGGUCUCUUGGAGGUGGAGUUCACAGUAAUUUCUGCACUCAGAACAGAAUGCAAGAAACUAAACCUUUGGAGGCUGAGGCGGAGAACAUCCUGAGAGCAAUUACUCCAACUCUUGACCCAACAAGACAUAAGGGCCAGGCAGGGAAAAUUGCUGUUAUUGGUGGGUGUCGGGAGUACACUGGUGCCCCUUAUUUUGCUGCUAUUUCUGCUUUGAAAAUUGGUGCUGAUUUGUCCCAUGUAUUCUGUACCAAAGACGCUGCUCCGGUUAUCAAAAGCUAUAGUCCCGAGUUGAUUGUGCACCCUAUUUUGGAAGAGUCUUAUAGUAUUGGGGAUGGGGACAAAAAAUACAUAUCAGGAAAGGUUGUUGCGGAGGUUGAUAAAUGGAUGGAGAGAUUUGAUUGUCUUGUUGUUGGUCCUGGCCUUGGGAGGGACCCAUUUCUUCUGGACUGUGUGAGUGAAAUUAUAAAGCAGGCAAGGCAGUCAAAUGUUCCAAUUGUUUUAGAUGGGGAUGGACUCUUUCUUGUAACAAACAGUAUUGAUCUAGUUAGUGGUUAUCCCUUAGCUGUUCUAACCCCAAAUGUGAAUGAAUACAAGCGCUUGGUUCAAAAAGUUCUAAAUUGUGAAGUAAAUGAUCAAGAUGCUCAGGGGCAAUUACUUUCUCUUUCCAGAAGGAUCGGGGGUGUAACCAUCUUACGGAAAGGAAAAUCUGACCUUAUUAGUGAUGGCGAGAUAGGUAUGGAAUACCUAAUAUGAUUCUGAAGUAAUUAUGCUUGUUUGUUUUUACAUUUUCUAGUCUUUCAGAUUUUCACUUGCUAAUUUACUAAGUUACCCGCUCAAACAGGUUAUGAUUUUUCAUAAGAUUUUUUUAAUUCGGAUGCUAUGUUACCAUGUAUCCCGCUCCCUGAAUCAAAUUAAAUGAGUCAAGGCAUUUUCACUUUCUUGUAGGCUUCAGAAACUACAUGAUUGCUUUGAUAUUAAUCGUUGUUAAUUUAUGCAGUCCAAUCGGUGACCAUCUAUGGUUCACCUAGACAUUGUGGGGGUCGAGGUGAUAUCCUUUCUGGAAGGUAAUUGAUUAUAUACAUAUAUUGUAUUCAAACAGCCAUUCCAGAUGUAUUCUUUUUUAAUGUAAUUAGUUCCACAAUCUCCUCCUAUUCAUUACUUCCUCUUUGGAAUGCUGUAAUUUUCUCAGGCUUUCUGGUUACAUUUCUCCUUGUAAUCUUGUUUUCCCUUGUCUAUGUUACGCAUUCUAAAAGAUAACUGUUCCUUAUUAGGUGGCUAACCAAUUUGUUCGCCAUUUUAUGCAUCUAUGUAGCUUUCAGAUUUGAAAAUCAAAAUGUGUUAGUUUUAAAUUGAAUAUUUGUGAUACAUCCUUUUUGUUGGUGUUAGUGUUGCAGUAUUUUUAUCUUGGGCAAACCAAUAUAUCUUGGCUGCUGAAGGCAAUGUGACCAUCAGACCAACAAAUCCAACAGUGCUAGAAUGCAUUGCUGGGUCUGCUUUAUUGAGGAGGGCUGCAUCACUUGCUUUUGAGAAUAGAAAAAGAUCAACUCUCACCAGUGACAUCAUUGAAUGCUUGGGAAGAAGUUUGGAGGAUAUUUUUCCAGCCUGAUAAGGCUGUUGACAAUGGCGAGAAUUUCACAUGAGCUGUUGUUAUGCAAAGAGCUAUCCCUUAAUUCUGCUGGCUUUUAAUAUUUAUACUCCUUUCACAUUGUACACAGGCCUCUUGAAAUUUUAGUCUGAUGCUCAGAAGGAUAUGCUCAUAAAUCUAGUGUUUUCUGAAACAUAAUAAAAUAAUUGAUGAUUUGGUCAAUGAACAAGAUUCUCAAUUUGGCUUGUGGUUAUAUUAAGAUUCUUAAAAUUCUAGUGUUUUUAAUUUUAUCUCUAGGCAACUACGUUUUGUGUUAAUUAUUCUGUUAUAAUUUAUAUUUGCAUGUGAUUGUGAAAAUAUGAUA
RNAcentral lists this unclassified non-coding RNA (4619 nucleotides) under Hevea brasiliensis (rubber tree). The record is from RNAcentral. Lineage: Eukaryota; Viridiplantae; Streptophyta; Magnoliopsida; Malpighiales; Euphorbiaceae.